Long non-coding RNA from Mytilus californianus (California mussel), 477 nucleotides. RefSeq lists it as uncharacterized. The record is from RefSeq and is a predicted model, not a curated record. Lineage: Eukaryota; Metazoa; Mollusca; Bivalvia; Mytilida; Mytilidae. The transcript has 2 exons.
GUUUCAGUUUGACGGAGAGACUACCACUUGUAUAAAGCUAAUAUCAACUAGUGGAUCAACAUGGAAAGAAGCAAGGACAUUUUGUCAACAACAACAAGGUGGUGACUUAGUUAGCAUAGUAUCAAAGGAAAAAUGGGAUUUUGUAUUUGAUUACUUUAGUUAUGUUGGUAGGGCAUGGAUAGGGCUUAAAGAUAAAAGAUGGAUGACCGGCGAAAGUUUCCACGACAUUUUUGGGAUUACGGUACAACUUAAUGAUUACGAUGCAGAUUAUCCUACGGAAGUCGAAAAUACAUGCGGCAUAUUAACCCCAUUGUCAUCUACACCACUCCAAGAUGAAAACUGUAAUAUUCGUAAAAGGGAAAAUUUUCUUUGUGAAAUUCGUAUGUCACAAAAUUAGACUUAGCCUAAGUAUUUUUUUUUUAUUUAAUGAAAAAUUGUUAUUUUUGGCGACAAUUAAAGUUUUAUUGAUUAUUGGUG